Molecule: long non-coding RNA, 38348 nt
Filed under: Theobroma cacao (cacao)
Lineage: Eukaryota; Viridiplantae; Streptophyta; Magnoliopsida; Malvales; Malvaceae
Description: long non-coding RNA (TCAC_LNC002723)
Source: RNAcentral
UAGGACUCUAACCGAGCCGCACCACCUCUCUCCCACGAUGGUUCCUGGGUUUCUCUCCCGGCCUUCCUUUUCACUUGCCUUAGCUUGUUUUAGACGCCAACCAAACGAAAUAGCGUCUUUUCAACGCCAAAUUGCCCAACACUAUAAAAACCGUUCCCUUUACUCACAAAAUCUUAGAUCUCAGAUUUCAGAUAUCAAAUCUCAGAUCGUUUCUUACUCUCUUUGAAGAAAUUGUGUUGCGAUGGCUGAUUUUCGUCUUCAAGACCUUUGUCAACCUCAACUCACACAAAUCGCUGCUGAAAAUACCAAAGCAGUUGCAGAAGAAUACUUUAAGUUGGGAAAUAUCAACAAGGCCAUCCAAUAAGGAUUCGCAGCACUUGAUUUGAACCCUGAGUUACGAAUGGUCCAAAAAUGCACUGCAGCUUAUCUUGUUCACAAGUUUGAUUUGAUGCUAUGCUUUUGCCAGAAGAUGAAGAUGGACGAUACUGAAGUCCUAUAUUCGAUUCUUUUUAUCGAAGAUUGUUCUGCCGUAGUUGAUGCUGCGACUAUUAGAAAACACUACAAGGAAGUGGUACUAUUGGUCCAUCCGGACAAGAAUGAUUCAGUUGCAGCAGAUGGUGCUUUCAAGAUCGUUCGUCAGGCUUGGGAAACUCUCUUAUCUGAUCACAAAAAAAGAAGAAAGACUCGAUGAGGAUGAAGUUUUUUGGUUUGGAUUAGAUUCAUUUUGAAUGUAUUCAAAUUUUUUUAUGAAUAAUAUGUAGUUAGUUUUUAUUUUGUUCUGAUUUUGUUACUUUUUUUAGAUUCAAUUUGAUUUUGAUUUUUAGUGUCAGUCCAAUUUCAUAAUUGAUCACAAUUAUGAUUAAGCAUUCCAAGUUGAAAUGCUACCAUCAUCAAUCCAUAAUAUAAUAUACAGAGUAAAUUGAAGCAAAUUAUUUGAAGAAUAUUCUGUUGUGGGUUUUUUUAGGGGUGAUAGUUUGUUGAUUAUUCAUUAUCUCAAUGUCAAUUCUUUUUUUUUUGGCNAUACAUCAUUAUAUUUCUUUUUCUGUAACUAAUUUAUAACAAUAAUAAUCUUAAAAAUUAUUAAAAUUAAUAAACAAUUCUUGAUUCUACUAAUUUAAAUUUUUUAUACAAAACUUUUAACAUCAAUUGUUCAUAAAAUUUACAAAUCUGUCGUGUAUAGUCUGUAUUUUUCUAAUUUUAUAAAUGAAAAUAAAAAACUACAAAAGUAGUAUGUUAUAACGAUUAAAUACCUUUAAUUAUAAUUAUUCUCAAUCAUAAUUUCUUAUUGCAAUGAAUACCAAAUUGAAUUUUGGUUCAAGAAAGAUAAGAUGCAUUUUGAGUAGAAAUUUUAAAUUCAAAUCAUAGAGUUCAUCACGUGAAAAAGAAAAAAAAAAUUUUUUGAAUAAUUUUGAGAGAAAAUGACGUCGUUUGUUGUUAGUCACUUGAAAUGAGUGAAAUGACGUCGUUCCUUCUUAAUGCUUAUUUCCCUCCUGCCACACGGUGUCGUUUUAGCAAGUGAUAAAACCAUCCCUUGAAACCCUGGCCUGUUUCUUUUUCUUCCUCGUCUGGCUAGGACUCUAACCGAGCCGCACCACCUCUCUCCCACGAUGGUUCCUGGGUUUCUCUCUCGACCGUCCUUUUCACUUGCCUUAGCUUGUUUUAGACGCCAACCAAACGAAAUAGCGUCUUUUCAACGCCAAAUUGCCCAACACUAUAAAAACCGUUCCCUUUACUCACAAAAUCUUAGAUCUCAGAUUUCAGAUAUCAAAUCUCAGAUCGUUUCUUACUCUCUUUGAAGAAAUUGUGUUGCGAUGGCUGAUUUUCGUCUCCAAGGUCUUUGUCAAUCUCAAUUCACAGAGAUUGCUGCUGAAAGAGCUAAAGUAGCUGCAGAGGAAUAUUUCAAGUCGGGAAACAUCGACAGAGCUAUUCAGCAAGGGUUCGCAGCACUCGAUUUGAACCCCAAUUUACGGAUCGUGCAGAAGUACAUUGCCGCCUAUUUGAUUCACAAGUUUGCUUCUAUGUUAAGUCUUUGCCAGAAAAUGAAGGUAGACGAUACCAAAGUUCUGUACUCCAUUCUUUUUAUCGAAGAUUGUUCUGCCGUAGUUGAUGCUGCGACUAUUAGAAAACACUACAAGGAAGUGGUACUAUUGGUCCAUCCGGACAAGAAUGAUUCAGUUGCAGCAGAUGGUGCUUUCAAGAUCGUUCGUCAGGCUUGGGAAACUCUCUUAUCUGAUCGCAACAAAAGAAGAAAGACUCGAUGAGGAUGAAGUUUUUUGGUUUGGAUUAGAUUCAUUUUGAUAUGUAUUCAAAUUUUUUAUGAAUAACAUGUAGUUAGUUUUUAUUUUGUUCUGAUUUGGUUACUUUGUUGAGAUUCAAUUUGAUUUUGAUUUUUAGUGUCAGUCCAAUUUCAUAAUUGAUCACAAUUAUGAUUAAGCAUUCCAAGUUAAAAUGCUACCAUCAUCAAUCCAUAAUAUAAUAUACAGAGUAAAUUGAAGCAAAUUAUUUGAAGAAUAUUCUGAUGUGGGUUUUUUAGGCAAUGAACGUUUUCUUUAAGCUUUCAGAUUUUAUUUUGUUAAAAUAAAUUUCUUUGUGUUAUAUAUUUUGUAAGUCUCUUUCGUUAGCUUGAAAUUGAAUUCUGGGUUCAAGAGGUUAUUGUAUUAAGUAACUAUGUGUUUUGCUUGCUUCAGUGUUUGUAUCGGUGCUGCAGUUAUUCACUUUCCUUCUGAUUUGAUACAAUCAAACUAAAAAAAAGAAGGAAAAAAAUUUUUUUUCACAAAAGUUACUAUAAUAUUUUUCUUUUUAUGGGUGAUAGUUUGUUGAUUAUUCAUUAUUUCAGUGUCAAUUCUUUAUUUUUGGCUUAAGUUAAACAGGCAUUGAAAAACCAAUACUUGCUUGCAAAAGAAGAACCAUAUCAGUUCUACGUGCCUUUUGAUUCUUCAAUUGUUAUCAAAUGCUUGCUCAUGUUGUCCAGAUGUUCCCAAAUGAUGUUUCCUUGGGCGAUAUCAUUGACGCUGCAAAGUCUUUCAGGUUUGUUAUUCGGUUUUUCUCACUUAGAGGUUGAAUCACAAUUUAUCAUAUGUUUAUUUUUGCAUAAGUGUGCAUGUGUAGUAGUAUAAGGCUGUUAAAGGGAAUAUAAUUUGUCAGUUUUUAUACAUAGCAAACCCUAAGUGUGAUUUCUUGGAAAAGCAGAAGUCCAAUAAUGGACUAUACACGUUCCUCUUUUAUCAUUACUCAUAUCUUAGCCUAAAUUACUCUUGUUGUUUCUGUGCUAAAAGUAAUGCUGCUAAUAUCUAGUUCUGGCCAACUUUUGCUGAGCUGUUUGCAAUAAUUGUUGUAUACGCAUUUAUGUAAAGGUACAUUUUUUCUUGGGCCUUAAUUCACUUACCAUGUAGUUCUCUCCUGAAUCAUGUUUCUGUCCCAUUUAUAAAUGUUAGGCUAUGAUUUGAAUUGCCUUGUUAAGGAAGCAUUAUCUAUUGAAAUGUUGCUGGCAGCUAUCCUCUAACUUAAGGGUGCAGGAGACACGGUCUUCAUUGGAGUGGUUUGUGGGAAAAGUACAAGACAUGAUUAUCUAAAUACUUUGAGACGAUCUAUAGUGAAGGGUUCAAAUGAAUCAAGGUGAGAGGUUUAAAGAAGCUGAUCAGUUUUGCACUUCAUUGCCUUUGUCAUAUAAAAGUUUUAAUCUCUAUUCACCCACCAAAAAGGAGGAAUAGGAAAGAGAAUUGCAAAAGUGGAAGCUUUUUUACAUUUGCAUAAUGCCUGAUGCAGGCAUACGUUUAAGUACUUAGAGAGAGAUGAGACAAUGGUAGCUCACUUGGUGGGGGAAUUGAUGCAUUCAUAAAGCUGUCUCAAAGUUAGCUGCUAUCAAAAUCUCUAUUCAAUGUUGUAUAUACUUUCUAAAAUUUGAAGUCUAUGUUCCAAAUUCUGAGGAAAUCAUUGGUAGAGAUAUCACCGGGAUCGGAUCUCGGUACAAUAUACAUCUCAACACCUGUGGAGAAAUGUUAGUUAUGUUUCUGUUAGUAGCUUUUGUACUAGUGUAAUUUUUAUUACAAAAAUCAGUCAUGUAGGGUGCCUAGUGAUUUGAUUAUGAUAAUUGAUUUCCACGGUAAGAUGUACAAGUUUGGGUACUCCAGGACCAGAUCUCCAUUGCAGUGAUGUGGAAAGUUCAAGGAAAACGUUGUCAAGGGUCAUAAAUAUUGUGAAAGAAUUAACUCUAGCAUUUGUUUUUAAUUUACACUAGAUCUUCUGUCUGCUCGUGAGUAACGGGUUUUGCUUGUUUUCAUGACUUUUUCUUUAAAUUUAUCAUCACUAUUCACAAUGAUAUAUAUGAAUGAUAAUUAAAGAUAUAUUAAAAGAUAAUGACAAGAAAGUAUUGAGUUGUUCAGCUUUAAUUAUUUGGCACAGGCAAUGAGUCAAUGAGGGCAAAUGCUAUUGGCAGUUGUGUUGUGCUCAACCAUGGAGGAGGUUGCGCGGUAGACAAGAUGCUCAUGGAGUUUGCUUCACCGUCAAUAAUCCAUAUGAUACUUCUAUUUGUUGUUAUCCUCGUUAAUUCAUUUUUAAUUUUAUUAUUAUUUAUCUUUUUAAAAAUUGAUUUUACUAGAAUUCUGAUCAAUUUUGCUUUUCUAAUUUAAAUACUGUCUUUUAUGGUUUCUUUAUGCCUUGUAUAUUGGUGCACAGUAUGAUGCAUUUAACUUGAUAUACAUAAGAUGCACAAUAUGAUACAUUUAAUUUGAUAUUGCAUUACAGGUAGAAGACUUUAGGCAGCAGGGAACUAAGAUGAGAAGAAAGAUGUGGCUUCAGAAUAUGAAGAUAAAAUUGAUUGUUUUGGGUAUCCUUAUUGCCCUGAUUCUUAUCAUUGUGCUGUCAGUCUGCCACGGCUUCAAAUGUUAAUCUGUCUUGGAUUUCCCUCGUACCGCUCUUGCUGCCAGGGAUGUCUUGAUAGAUUGGUUUGUCUUACUUGUUUUUUUAGGGCAUAUAUUUCUCCCUUUGCUUGCGGUUUAGGAUAGGGGGAGGCUUUGUAUCUUGGUUGGCUGUAUAGGUUAUAGUUUGAACUUGUUACGGUAGAUAAAAAUUUCUAUGGAGGAUUUCUUCUUUAUACUGUGAUGGGGGUAUACUCGGAUUCCUGCAUAUCAUAUUUGUCCUUUUGAAAUGUUAUUAAUCUGUUUUUUUGGUUUUUGUCGCUUAUCAUGUAAAUCCUUUUGUAUGCAUUUCUCUUUUAGACGUAAGAGGAGACAGUUGGUUUUGUAAAAUUUUUUAAUGCUUAGGAGCCUAUGGUUGCAUGAGUAGCUCGGUGUCUUUGCCUUCCGCAGAGAAGGUCUUCAGCUCUAAUGAUUAGAGCGAUGUGUAUGAUUGAUUUUCCCCGCUCCCCUUGAAGUCUUGUUUUGAGGAUCUAUUCUUUCUCCAGAGAGAAAUUUGGGGAAUAAGUAAAGAAUUUUGAUGAAGGGUUGUUUUGUCAAAAAAUAAAAAACUAGUUUGACUACGAAACAAAUCGAAUUUUAUACGGUAGUUGGUUCUUUUUCGAUUUUACAUUAUUCCAAUAAAAGGAGUUAGCAUAUUUUUGCUUGAAAACAAUCCAAUUUGAGUUUCUAACCUUAAAUCGAGUUUGAGCAAUGAAAAUUAAUGUCUACAUGAACAGAUUAUAAUAUGUGAACAACUGUAGCAAUGAUGUGUUUUGUGCAUAAUAUGUUGAGAUUAGAUCCCACUAUUAGAAAAACUAAUGUCUAACUCAAAUUUUAACAUUUUGAAAUUCUUUCAAUAUUAAAUACUUGAAAACCUUAUGUCCGUUGUUGGCUGGAUCGUCUUUGUCCCAUUAUCCUCUCUAACCCAUCCUUUUUACGUGUUUUAAAAUUAUAAAUAAUAUAUAUAUAUAUAUUUAUAUAUUGUAAAACAAAAAAAUUAUAAUAAUUAAUAUUUUAUAAAUGAAAAUAAAAGAUUACAAAAGUAAUCUGUUAUAACAAUUAAAUAUCUUUAAUUAUAAUUAUUCUCAAUCAUAAUUUCUUAUUGCAGUCAAUACCCAAUUGAAUUUUGGUUCAAGUAAGAAAGAUAAGAUGCAUUUUGAAUAGAAAUUUUAAAUUCAAAUCAUAGAGAUCAUCACGAAAAAAAGAAAAAAAUAAAAAUUUCGUAUAGUUUACAGAGAAAUCCCAGCAAAGAAUAUGACGUCGUUUAUUUUUAAUCACUUGCAAUGAGUGAAAUGACGUCGUUUCCUUCUUGAAGCUUAUUUCUCUCCUACCACACGGUGUCGUUUUAUCAAGUGAUAAAAGCAUCCCUUGAAACCUCAGCCUGCUUCUUUUUCCCCGCUUGUCUGGCUAGGACUCUUACCGAGCCGCACCACCUCUCUUCCACGAUGGUUCCUGGGUUUCUCUCCCGGCCUUCCGUUCUCGAGCCGCAACUCCUGAUCACUUGCUUUAGCUUACUUUAGACGCUAACCAAACAAGAUAGCUUUUUUUCAACGCCAAAUUGCCCAACACUCUAAAAACCGUUCCCUUAUCUCACAAAUCUUAGAUCUCAGAUUUCAGAUAUCAAAUAUCAGAUCGUUUCUUACUUUCCUUGAAGAAAUUGUGUUGUGAUGGCCGAUUUUCGUCUUCAAGGUAUUUGUCAAUCUCAAUUCACAGAGAUUGCUGCUGAAAGAGCUAAAGUAGCUGCGGAAGAAUAUUUCAAGUUGGGAAACAUCGACAGGGCUAUUCAGCAAGGGUUCGCAGCACUCGAUUUGAACCCCAAUUUACGGAUCGUGCAGAAGUACAUUGCCGCCUAUUUGAUUCACAAGUUUGCUUCUAUGUUAAGUCUUUGCCAGAAAAUGAAGGUAGACGAUACCAAAGUUCUGUACUCCAUUCUUUUUAUCGAAGAUUGUUCUGCCGUAGUUGAUGCUGCGACUAUUAGAAAACACUACAAAGAAGUGGUACUAUUGGUCCAUCCGGACAAGAAUGAUUCAGUUGCAGCAGAUGGUGCUUUCAAGAUCGUUCGUCAGGCUUGGGAAACUCUCUUAUCUGAUCACAACAAAAGAAGAAAGACUCUACGAAGAUGAAGUUCUUUGGUUUGGAUUAGAUUCAUUUUGAUAUGUAUUCAAAUUUUUUAUGAAUAAUAUGUAGUUAGUUUUUAUUUUGUUCUGAUUUUGUUACUUUUCUUAGAUUCAAUUUGAUUUGAUUUUUAGUGUCAGUCCAAUUUCAUAAUUAAUCACAAUUAUGAUUAAGCAUUCCAAGUUAAAAUGCUACCAUCAUCAAUCCAUAAUAUAAUAUACAGAGUAAAUUGAAGCAAAUUAUUUGAAGAACAUUCUGAUGUGGAUUUUUUAGGCAAUGAACAUUUUUUUAAGUUUUUAGAAUUUUUUUGGUUAAUUUUGUUAAAAUAAAUUGCUUUGUGUUAUAUAUUUUGUAAGUCUUUUUUGUUAGUUUGAAAUUGAAUUCUGGGUUCAAUAUGUUAUUGUAUUAAGAAACUAUGUGUUUUGCUUGCUUUAGUGUUUGUAUCGGUGCUGCAGUUGUUCACUUUCCAUACAAUCAAAUUAAAAAAAAAAGGGAAAAAAAUCAAAAUUUUCACAAAAGUUACCGUAAUAUAUUUCUUUUUAGGGGUGAUAGUUUGUUGAUUAUUCAUUAUUUCAAUGUCAAUUCUUUUUUUUUUUGGCUCAAGUUAAACAGGCAUUGAAAAACCAAUACUUGCUUGCAAAAGAAGAACCAUAUUGGUUCUAUGUGUCUUUUGAUUCUUCAAUUGUUAUCAAUUGCUUGCUCAUUUGUCCAGAUGUUCCCAAAUGAUGUUUACUUAGGCGAAAUCAUUGAUGCUGUAAAGUCUUUCAGGUUUGUUAUUCGGUUUUUCUCACUCAGAGGUUGAAUCACAAUUUAUCAUAUGUUUAUUUUGGCAUAAGUGUGCAUGUGUAGUGGUAAUAAGGCUGCUAAAGGGAAUAUAAUUUGUCAGUUUUUAUACAUAGCAAACCCUAAGUGUGAUUUCCUGGAAAAGCAGAAGUCCAAGAAUGGACUAUACACUUUCCUCUUUAUCUUUACUCAUAUCUUAGUGUUUUACUUUCCAAAAUGAAAGUUACCUCCAUCUCAACCUUACUGCUAUCUGCCCUAAAGACAACCUUACAUCCCAUUCAUAUCCAUUUAUUCAUCAAUUUAUGGUCGCAUCACAUGAUUUAUCUAUUAGCAACCAAUAUUCUUCUUUCAGACUUUCAGUCAAAGUUCUUAUUGACAGGAAGAGGUUUAACCUGAAACAGCAACCUGCCUGGCCUUCUUUUGGCUCAUUUGAACCUUUAACCUGUUUUCCUGGGCAGUCACCAUUGAUUAUAAGCCUAAAUUACUCUUGUUGUUUCUGUGCUAAAAGUAAUGCUGCUAAUGUCUAGUUCUGGCCAACUUUUGCUGAGCUGUUUGCAAUAAUUGUCGUAUACACAUUUAUGUAAAGGUACAUUUUUUCUUGGGCCUUAAUUCGCAUACCACGUAGUUCUCUCCUGAAUCAUUUUUUUGUCCCAUUUGUAAAUGUUAGGCUAUGAUUUGAAUUGCCUUGUUAAGGAGGCAUUAUCUAUUGAAAUGUUGCUGGCAGCUAUCCUCUAACUUAAGGGUGCAGGAGACACGGUCUUCAUUGGAGUGGUUGUGUUGGUUUAUCUGAAUCUUUACUGCAUAAGUGUCUGGUGAAAUGAAUCAAUAAAAAGAAGCAAAAUCAUUAAGGGGAUUUUUAGUGUGAAUGUGUAACUUAGGGGUGAUAAUGUUUUAUUUUUUCCUGUUUAAAUGAGAUGAUAAUGUUUUAUUUGAAUGUAUAUAGCAUGAAUCAGAAAAGUUGCGAUAAUGAGGGAUAUUGUAUCGUUUGAGGGUGGUGGUUGUCGGUUAUUUUGAUAGACAAAUGGAGGUAAUAUUUGGAUUCGGGUGCAUUAAUGAGAUGACUCUAAAAAUUAUGAGGUUAAUGUAGCAUAAGGUUCACAUAAUUUAUAAUGCCAUAAUCAUAAAUAAGCCCUUCACAUGUGAUAAAAUCCUCACUUAAGCCCUUAUUGUUUUGUUUGCGUCAAUUGAGUCCCCAACCUAUUAUUUUGAUGUCAAAUGAAUCCAAUUUGAAUGGGAAAUGCUGACAUCGCUAAAGGUGUGACUUAUUCCAACAUACAUGAGUUAAUUGGGGACAUUUGAAAUGUCAGCAUUUCCAUCUAAAUUGGAUUCAGUUGACACCAAAUGAUAGGUUGAUGGCUCGAUUGACACAAAUAAAAUAAUAAAGGCUUAAGUGAGAAUUUUACCAUAAUUUGAGAGCUUAUUUUGUUAUUAUGCCAUUUAUAAUUUACGAGAAGCAUUCUUGUCUGAAGUAUGUUUCAUUUUAAUUGUUACUUCUAUGCUUUUCCCUUUUCUCUUUUCCUUAGCUAGCCGCAUUUCAUGUUGAUUUUUUCCGGCCCUCCCAAAAGUCAAUGUCUGUUUGAUGUUUCCAUUCCUGCAUCUAUAUGUGCUUUGGAUCUGGAUUGGUUCCAAGGACCAUGCAUGGAAGUUAGUUCUAUGCUGAUGUUACCAAAUGAAUGCUUAAUAUGUAGUAAAGAAUGAUGUUGAAAAGCAAAAGGAUCUUGUGAAGACGUAACUAGUAUCAAACAUGGUAAACUGAGCAGCACCUGCCGACACAUUGUUAGUUACGUGUUUUGUCAAGGACCUCACCCUCUAAUCAUACCCAUGGAUGAGGCAUAUCCAGGUCACUGUCUGAUUGAUCAAUUGCAGCUGGCUGCUGCUUUUUAGCUUCUCUGUGGGUGCAUGUGUUAACAAGUGUGUGCAUAUUGAUGUUAGUUUUAAAGCUGUCGAUGAUAUGCAUAAUGGAUUACAUUUAGAAAAGAAAACGGAGAGAAGGUUAUUUUUUUUAUCUAAGCAUGUUGGUUUUGAUCAUAGAUCUGGAUGCUGACUUCUGGUUUGAAUUUGUUGAAUGUGGCUUUAGUAGGAAAUGAAUGCUUAUUGCCGUAAAUCCUGAUUUCUUUAAUUGUUCUCAUACUCAUUUUGUCAAAUACAUUUGGUGCUGCAGCCUACUGUGUAGUAGCAGUUGAAUCUGCUGGCAGGCAAGUUCCAAUUGCAUUUCUGGAACGAGUCAAGGAAGACUUCAACGAGACAUAUGGUGGAGGAAAAGCUGCAACUGCUCCCCCGGAUAGCGUGAAUAGAGAAUUUGGGUAUUUAACUGUCUUUAUUUUUCUCGUAGAUUUAUUGUUCACUUCUUCGUGACAUGCUUAGCUCUUUAUACAUAAUAGGUCCAAAUUGAAGGAGCAUAUGCAGUAUUGUGUGGACCAUCCUGAAGAGAUCAGCAAACUUGCCAAAGUGAAGGCUCAAGUUUCUGAAGUCAAGGGUGUUAUGAUAGAAAACAUUGAGAAGGUAAUAGGCUGCUGCUGAUGUUGUAGCUGUUCUAGAGGUAGUUUGAGGGUUAAAACAUGAUAAGAUGCACAUCCAGCUUCUGCAAGUUGCUAGACGCGUUAUAAAAUUGAAAGCACUUCAGAUAUAUUGCAUGUGGUGUGUUGUUUUGUUAGUAACAUUUGGCUUUGGCCAGGUCCUUGAUCGUGGUGAGAAAAUUGAGUUGCUGGUGGAUAAAACGGAGAACCUUCGCUCACAGGUUAGUCAUAUUCAAACUGCAUUUUAUGGGUAACUGAAACAAUGACUUAAUUGUGUUUUGGUGAAGCCAUUGCCUUUCAAAGUUGGUUUUAAAACUUAUUAGGAUUCUGAUCAAUUUCGGUUUUCUAAUUUAAAUACCGUCUUUUAUGGUUUCUUGAUGCCUUGUAUAUUGGCGCACAGUAUGAUGCAUUUAACUUGAUAUACGUAAGAUGCAGAAUAUGAUACAUUUAAUUUGAUAUUGCAUUACAGGCGCAAGACUUUAGGCAGCAGGGAACUAAGAUGAGACGAAAGAUGUGGCUUCAGAAUAUGAAGAUAAAAUUGAUUGUUUUGGGUAUCCUUAUUGCUCGAUUCUUAUCAUUGUGCUGUCAGUCUGCCAUGGCUUUAAAUGUUAAUCUGUCCUGGAUUUCCCGGGUACAGCUCUUGCUGCCCGGGUUGUCUUGAUAGAUUGGUUUGUCUUACAUGUUUUUGAAGGGCAUAUAUUUCUCCCUUUGCUAGCCUUUUAGGAUAGGGGGAGGCUUUGUAUCUUGGUUGGCUGUAUAGGUUAUAGUUUGAACUUGUUGCGGUAGAUAAAAAUUUCUACGGAGGAUUUCUUCUUUAUAUUGUAAUGGGGGAAUACUCGGAUGCCUGCAUAAUGUUAUUAAUCUGUUUUUUUUUUUUCUCUCUCUCUUAUCAUGUAAAUCCUUUUAUAUGCUUUUCUUUAGAGGUAAGUGGACACAGUUGGUUUUGUUAAAUUUUUUAAUGCUUUGGAGCCUAUGGUUGCAUGAGUAGCUCGGUGUCUUUACCGUCCGCAUGGAAGGUCUUUAGCUCUAAUGAUUAGAGAGAUGUGUAUGAUUGAUUUUCCCCCGCUUACUUUGAAGUCUUGUUUUGAGGAUCUAUUCUUUCUCCAUAGAGAAAUUUGGGGAAUAAGUAAAGAAUGUUGAUGAGGGGUUGUUUUGUUAAAAAAAAGAAAAAAGUUUGUUAAAAAAUUAGUUUUACUAUAAAAACAAAUCGAAUUUUAUUUGACAAUUGGUUCCCUUUCGAUUUUACAUUAUUCAAAUAAAAAGAGUUAGAUUAUUUUUGCUUGAAAACGACUCAAUUUGUGUUUCUAAUGAUACAAACUAUUAAGAACAGUGUAAAUCGAGUUUGAGUAAUGGAAACUAAUGUCCAUAGAACAGAUUAUAAUAUAUAAAAAAUUGUAGCAAUGAUGUGAAGUAGAAGCACUACUGUCUUCGCGGUUUUGUACAUAAUAUGCUAAGAUUAGAUGCCACAAUUGAAAAAAUUAAGGCUUAAUACAAAUUUUAACAUUUUUGAAUUUUUUCAAUAUUAAAUAUCUAAAAACCUGAUGCCUGUUGUUGGCUGGAGCAUCCUUGUCCCAUUAUCUCUUUGACCCACCUGUUUACGUGCUUAAAAUAUAUAUAUAUAUAUAUAUAUAUUAUAUAACAAAGUAAUUUUUUGUAAUUGAUAUUUUAUAAAUAAAAAUAAAAGAUUACAGAAGUAGUUAGGUACAAUAAUUAAAUACUUUUAAUUAUAAUUAUUCUCAAUCAUAAUUUCUUAUUGCAAUCAACACCAAUUUGAAUUUUGGUUCAAAUAAGAAAGAUAAGAUGCAUUUUGAGUAGAAAUUUUAAAUUCAAAUCAUAGAGUUCAUAAAGAGAAAAAGAAAAAAUAAAAAUUUCGUAUAAUUUACAGAGAAAAUGACGUGGUUUAUUGUCAAUGGCUUGAAAUGAGUUACAUGACGUCGUUUCCUUCUUAAUGCUUAUUUCUCUCCCCUCACACGGUGUCGUUUUACCAAGCAAUAAAUGCAUCCCGUGAAACCCUGGCCUGUUUCUUUUUCUUCCUUGUCUGGCUAGGACUCUAACCGAGCCGCACCACAUCUCUUCCACGAUGGUUCCUGGGUUUCUCUCUCGACCGUCCUUUUCACUUGCCUUAGCUUGUUUUAGACGCCAACCAAACGAAAUAGCGUCUUUUCAACGCCAAAUUGCCCAACACUAUAAAAACCGUUCCCUUAUCUCACAAAUCUUAGAUCUCAGAUUUCAGAUAUCAAAUCUCGGAUCGUUUCUUACUCUCUUUGAAGAAAUUGUGUUGCGAUGGCUGAUUUUCGUCUUCAAGGUAUUUUUCAAUCUCAAUUCACAGAGAUUGCUGCUGAAAGAGCUAAAGUAGCUGCAGAGGAAUACUUCAAGUCGGGAAACAUCGACAGGGCUAUUCAGCAAGGGUUCGCAGCACUCGAUUUGAACCCCAAUUUACGGAUCGUGCAGAAGUACAUUGCCGCCUAUUUGAUUCACAAGUUUGCUUCUAUGUUAAGUCUUUGCCAGAAAAUGAAGGUAGACGAUACCAAAGUUCUGUACUCCAUUCUUUUUAUCGAAGAUUGUUCUGCCGUAGUUGAUGCUGCGACUAUUAGAAAACACUACAAGGAAGUGGUACUAUUGGUCCAUCCGGACAAGAAUGAUUCAGUUGCAGCAGAUGGUGCUUUCAAGAUCGUUCGUCAGGCUUGGGAAACUCUCUUAUCUGAUCACAACAAAAGAAGAAAGACUCGAUGAAGAUGAAGUUUUUUGGUUUGGAUUAGAUUCAUUUUGAAUGUAUUCAAAUUUUUUUAUGAAUAAUAUGUAGUUACUUUUUAUUUUGUUCUGAUUUUGUUACUUUUUUUAGAUUCAAUUUGAUUUUGAUUUUUAGUGUCAGUCCAAUUUCAUAAUUGAUCACAAUUAUGAUUAAGCAUUCCAAGUUAAAAUGCUACCAUCAUCAAUCCAUAAUAUAAUAUACAGAGUAAAUUGAAGCAAAUUAUUUGAAGAAUAUUCUGAUGUGGGUUUUUUAGGCAAUGAACUUUUUCUUUAAGAUUUUAGAUUUUUUUUUGUUUAAUUUUGUUAAAAUAAAUUGCUUUGUGUUAUAUAUUUUGUAAGUCUUUUUCGUUAGUUUGAAAUUGAAUUCUGGGUUCAAGAGGUUAUUGUAUUAAGAAACUAUGUGUUUUGCUUGCUUCAGUGUUUGUAUCGGUGCUGCAGUUAUUCACUUUCUUUCUGAUUUGAUACAAUCAAACUAAAAAAAUAAAAUUUUCACAAAAGUUACUAUAAUAUAUUUCUUUUUAUGGGUGAUAGUUUGCUGAUUAUUCAUUCUGUCAAUGUCAGUUCUUUUUUGGCUCAAGUUAAACAGGCAUUGAAAAACCAAUACUUGCUUGCAAAGAACCACAUUGAUUCUACGUGUCUUUUGAUUCUUCAAUUGUUAUCAAAUGCUUGCUCAUUUUGUCUAGAUGUUCCCAAAUGAUGUUUACUUGGGCGAUAUCAUUGAUGCUGCAAAGUCUUUCAGGUUUGUUAUUCGGUUUUUCUCACUUAGAGGUUGAAUCACAAUUUAUCAUAUGUUUAUUUUUGCAUAAGUGUGCAUGUGUAGUAGUAUAAGGCUGUUAAAGGGAAUAUAAUUUGUCAGUUUUUAUACAUAGCAAACCCUGAGUGUGAUUUCUUGGAAAAGCAAAAGUCCAAUAAUGGACUAUACACGUUCCUCUUUUAUCAUUACUCAUAUCUUAGCCUAAAUUACUCUUGUUGUUUCUGUGCUAAAAGUAAUGCUGCUAAUAUCUAGUUCUGGCCAACUUUUGCUGAGCUGUUUGCAAUAAUUGUUGUAUACACAUUUAUGUAAAGGUACAUUUUUUCUUGGUCCUUAAUUCAUGUACCAUGUAGUUCUCUCCUGAAUCAUUUUUUUGUCCCAUUUGUAAAUGUUAGGCUAUGAUUUGAAUUGCCUUGUUAAGGAAGCAUUAUCUAUUGAAAUGUUGCUGGCAGCUAUCCUCUAACUUAAGGGUGCAGGAGACACGGUCUUCAUUGGAGUGGUUUGUGGGAAAAGUACAAGACAUGAUUACCUAAAUACUUUGAGACGAUCUAUAGUGAAGAGUACAAAUAAAUCAAGGUGAUAGGUUUAAAGAAGCUGAUCAGUUUUGCACUUCAUUGCCUUUGUCAUAUAAAAGUUUUAAUCUCUAUUCACCCACCAAAAAGGAGGAAUAGGAAAGAAAAUUGCAAAAGUGGAAGCUUUUUUACAUUUGCAUAAUGCCUGAUGCACGCAUACGUUUAAGCACUUAGAGAGAGAUGAGACAAUGGUAGCUCACUUGGUGGGGGAAUUGAUGCAUUCAUAAAGCUGUCUCAAAGUUAGCUGCUAUUAAAAUCUCUAUUCAAUGUUCUAUAUACUUACUAAAAUUUGAAGUCUAUGUUCCAAAUUCUGAGGAAAUCAUUGGUAGAGAUAUCACCUGGAUCGGAUCCUGGUACAAAUACAUCUCAACACCUGUGGAGAAAUGUUAGUUAUGUUUCUGUUAGUAGCUUUUGUACUAGUGUAAUUUUCAUUACAUAAAUCAGUCAUGUAGGGUGCCUAGUGAUUUGAUUAUGAUAAUUGAUUUCCACGGUAAGAUGUACAAGUUUGGGUACUCCAGGACCAGAUCUCCAUUGCAGUGAUGUGCAAAGUUCAAGGAAAACUUUGUCAAGGGUCAUAAAUAUUGUGAAAGGGUUAACUCUAGCAUUUGUUUUUAAUUUACACUAGAUCUUCUGUCUGCUCGUGAGUAACGGGUUUUGCUUGUUUUCAUGACUUUUUCUUUAAAUUUAUCAUCACUAUUCACCAUGAUAUAGAUGAAUGAUAAUUAAAGAUAUAUUAAAAGAUAAUGACAAGAAAAUAUUGAGUUGUUCAGCUUUAAUUAUUUGGCACAGGCAAUGAGUCAAUGAGGGCAAAUGCUAUUGGCAGUUGUGUUGUGCUCAACCAUGGAGGAGGUUGCGCGGUAGACAAGAUGCUCAUGGAGUUUGCUUCACUGUCAAUAAUCCCUAUGAUACUUCUAUUUGUUGUUAUCCUCAUUAAUUCAUUUUUAAUUUUAUUAUUAUUUAUCUUUUUAAAAAUUGAUUUUACUAGAAUUCUGAUCAAUUUUGCUUUUCUAAUUUAAAUACUGUCUUUUAUGGUUUCUUUAUGCCUUGUAUAUUGGUGCACAAUAUGAUGCAUUUAACUUGAUAUACAUAAGAUGCACAAUAUGAUACAUUUAAUUUGAUAUUGCAUUACAGGUACAAGACUUUAGGCAGCAGGGAACUAAGAUGAGAAGAAAGAUGUGGCUUCAGAAUAUGAAGAUAAAAUUGAUUGUUUUGGGUAUCCUUAUUGCCCUGAUUCUUAUCAUUGUGCUGUCAGUCUGCCAUGGCUUCAAAUGUUAAUCUGUCUUGGAUUUCCCUUGUACCGCUCUUGCUGCCUGGGUUGUCUUGAUAGAUUGGUUUGUCUUACUUGUUUUUUUAGGGCAUAUAUUUCUCCCUUUGCUAGCCUUUUAGGAUAGGGGGAGGCUUUGUAUCUUGGUUGGCUGUAUAGGUUAUAGUUUGAACUUGUUACGGUAGAUAAAAAUUUCUAUGGAGGAUUUCUUCUUUAUAUUGUAAUGGGGGAUUACUCGGAUGCCUGCAUAUCAUAUUUGUCCUUUUGAAAUGUUAUUAAUCUGUUUUUUUGUUUUUCUCGCUUAUCAUGCAAAUCCUUUUAUAUGCAUUUCUCUUUUAGAGGUAAGAGGACAAGGUUGGUUCUGUAAAAAUUUUUAAUGCUUAGGAGACUACGGUUGCAUGAGUAGCUCAGUGUCUUCGCCUUCCGCAGGGAAGGUCUUUAGCUCUAAUGAUUAAAGCGAUGUGUAUGAUUGAUUUUCUCCCACUACCUUUGAAGUCUUGUUUUGAGGAUCUAUUCUUUCUACGGAGAGAAAUUUGGGGAAUAAGUAAGGGAUGUUGACGAAUGGUUGUUUUGUCAAAAAAAAAAAAAAAUGGUUUGUUAAAACACUAGUUUGACAACGAAACAAAUUGAAUUUUAUUUGGUAGUCGGUUCGAUUUUUCUUUAUUAAAAUCAAAGGCGUUAGUAUAUUUUUGCUUGAAAACGAUUUAAUUUGAGUUUUUAAUCGUAAAUCGAGUUUGAGUAAUGGAAACUAAUGUCCACAAGAAUAUAUUAUAAUAUAUGAAAAAUUGUAGCUAUGAUGUGAAGCAAAAGUACUAUUGUGCUCAUGAUUUUGUAUAUAAUAUGUUGAGAUUAGGUCCUACUAUUAGAAAAAUUAAAAUUUAAUUCAAAUUUUAACAUCUUGAAAUUCGUUCAAUAUUAAAUACUUAAAAACUUAAUGCCCGCUGUUAACUGAAUCAUCUUUGUAUCAUUAUCCUCUCUAAUCUUUUUUUUUUUGCUUAAAAUAUAUAUAUAUAUUAUAUAACAAAAGAUUUUUAAUAGUUGGUAUUUUAUGAAUGAAAACAAAAGACUACAAAGUAGUCUGUUAUAACAAUUAAAUACCUUUAAUUAUAAUUAUUCUCUAUCAUAGUUUCUUAUUGCAAUUAAUACCAAAUUGAAUUUUGAUUCAAGUAAGAAAGAUAAGAUGCGUUUUGAGUAGAAAUUUUAAAUUCAAAUUAUAGAGUUCAUCACGAGAAAGAGAAACAAUAAAAUUUCGUAUAAUUUACAAAAAAAAUGACGUCGUUUAUUAUUAAUCACUUGAAAUGAAUGGCAUGACGACGUUUCCUUCUUAAUGCUUAUUUCUCUCCUGCUACACGGUGUCGUUUUACCAAGUAAUAAAAGCAUCCCUUGAAACCCUAGCCUCUUUCUUUUUCUCCGCUGGUCUCGGUAAGACUCUAACCGAGCCGCACCACCUCUCUUCCACGAUGGUUCCUGGGUUUCUCUCCCGGCCCUCCUUUCUCGAGCCGCAACUCCUGAUCACUUGCCUUCGCUUGUUUUAGACGCCAAGCAAACAAGAUAGCUUUUUUCCAACGCCAAAUUGCCCAACAAUAUAAAAACCCUCCCUUUACUCACAAAAUCUUAGAUCUCAGAUUUCAGAUAUCAAAUCUCAGAUCGUUUCUUACUCUCUUUGAAGAAAUUGUGUUGCGAUGGCUGAUUUUCGUCUUCAAGGUAUUUGUCAAUCUCAAUUCACAGAGAUUGCUGCUGAAAGAGCUAAAGUAGCUGCAGAGGAAUACUUCAAGUCGGGAAACAUCGACAGGGCUAUUCAGCAAGGGUUCGCAGCACUCGAUUUGAACCCCAAUUUACGGAUCGUGCAGAAGUACAUUGCCGCCUAUUUGAUUCACAAGUUUGCUUCUAUGUUAAGUCUUUGCCAGAAAAUGAAGGUCGACGAUACUAAGGUUCUGUACUCCAUUCUUUUUAUCGAAGAUUGUUCUGCCGUAGUUGAUGCUGCGACUAUUAGAAAACACUACAAAGAAGUGGUACUAUUGGUCCAUCCGGACAAGAAUGAUUCAGUUGCAGCAGAUGGUGCUUUCAAGAUCGUUCGUCAGGCUUGGGAAACUCUCUUAUCUGAUCGCAACAAAAGAAGAAAGACUCGAUGAAGAUGAAGUUUUUUUGGUUUGGAUUACAUUCAUUUUGAUAUGUAUUCAAAUUUUUUAUGACUAAUAUGUAGUUAGUUUUUCUUUUGUUCUGAUUUUGUUACUUUUCUUAGAUUCAAUUUGUGUUGAUUUUUAGUGUCAGUUCAAUUUCAUAAUUAAUCACAGUUAUGAUUAAGCAUUCCAAGUUAAAAUGCUACCAUCAUCAAUCCAUAAUAUAAUAUACAGAGUAAAUUGAAGCAAAUUAUUUGAAGAAUAUUCUGAUGUGGGUUUUUUAGGCAAUGAACUUUUUCUUUAAGAUUUUAGAUUUUUUUUUGUUUAAUUUUGUUAAAAUAAAUUGCUUUGUGUUAUAUAUUUUGUAAGUCUUUUUCGUUAGUUUGAAAUUGAAUUCUGGGUUCAAGAGGUUAUUGUAUUAAGUAACUAUGUGUUUUGCUUGCUUCAGUGUUUGUAUCGGGGUUACAGUUUGUUCACUUUCGUUCUCAUUUGAUACAAUCAAACUAAAAAUAAAAAAGGAAAAAAAUUAAAAUUUUCACAAAAGUUACUAUAAUAUAUUUCUUUUUAGGGGUGAUAGUUUGUUGAUUAUUCAUUAUCUCAAUGUCAAUUCUUUUUUUUUUUUGGCUCAAGUUAAACAGGCAUUGAAAAACCAAUAUUUGCUUGCAAAAGAAGAACCAUAUUGGUUCUACGUGUCUUUUGAUCCUUCAAUUGUUAUCAAAUGCGUGCUCAUGUUGUCCAGAUGUUCCCAAAUGAUGUUUACUUUGGCGAUAUUAUUGGUGCUGCAAAGUCUUUCAGGUUUGUUAUUCAGUUUUUCUCACUCAGAGGUUGAAUCACAAUUUAUCGUAUGUUUAUUUUUGCAUAAGUGUACAUGUGUAGUGGUAUAAGGCUGUUAAAGGGAAUAUAAUUAGUCAGUUUUUAUACAUAGCAAACCCAAAGUGUGAUUUCUUGGAAAGGCAGAAGUCCAAGAAUGGACCAUACACUUUCCUCUUUAUCUUUACUCAUAUCUUAGUGUUUUACUUUCCAAAAUGAAAGUUACCUGCAUCUCAACCUUGCUGCUAUCUGCCCUAAAGACAACCUUACAACCCAUUCAUAUCCAUCUAUUCAUCAAUUUAUGGUCCCAUCACAUGAUAUAUCUAUUAGCAACCGAUAUUCUUCUUUCAGACUUUCCGUAAAAGUUCUUAUUGACAGGAAGAAGUUUCACCUGAAACAGCAACCUGCCUGGCCUUCUUCUGACUCAUUUGAACCUUUAACCUGUUUUCCUGGGCGGUCACCAUUGCUAAUAAGCCUAAAUUACUCUUGUUGUUUCUGUGCUAAAAGUGAUGCUGUUAAUAUCUAGUUCCGGCCAACCUUUGCUGAGCAGUUUGCAACAAUUGUCGUAUACACAUUUAUGUAAAGGUACAUUUUUUCUUGGUCCUUAAUUCAUGUACCAUGUAGUUCUCUCCUGAAUCAUUUUUUUGUCCCAUUUGUAAAUGUUAGGCUAUGAAUUGAAUUGCCUUGUUAAUAAGGAGGCAUUAUCUAUUGAAAUGUUGCUGGCAGCUAUCCUCUAACUUAAGGGUACAGGAGACAAGGUCUUCAUUGGAGUGGUUUGUGUUGGUUUAUCUGAAUCUUUACUACAUAAGUGUCUGGUGAAAUGAAUCCAUAAAAAGAAGCAAAAUCAUUGAGGGGAUUUUUAGUGUGAAUGUGUAACUUAGGGGUGAUAAUGUUUUAUUUUUUCCUGUUUAAAUGAGAUGGUAAUGUUUUAUUGGAUGUAUAUAGCAUGAAUCAGAAAAGUUGUGAUAAUGAGGGACAUUGUAUCUUUUGAGGGUGGUGGUUGUCGGUUGUUUUGAUAGACAAAAUGGAGGUAAUAUUAAGAUUCGGACGCAUUAAUGAGAUAACUCUGAAAAUUAUCAGGUUAAUGUAGCAUAAGGUUCACAUAAUUUAUAAUGCCAUAAUGAUAAAUAAGCCCAUCACCUGUGAUAAAAUCCUCACUUAAGCCCUUACUGCUUUAUUUGCGUCAAUUGAGUCCCCAACCUAUUAUUUUGAUGUCAAAUGAAUCCAAUUUGAAUGGGAAAUGCUGACAUCGCUAAAGGUGUGACUUAUUCCAACAUACAUAAGUUAAUUGGGGACAUUAGAAAUGUCAGCAUUUCCAUCUAAAUUGGAUUCACAUGACACCAAAUAAUAGGUUGAUGGCUCGAUUGACACAAAUAAAAUAAUAAAGGCUUAAGUGAGAAUUUUACCAUAAUUUGAGAGCUUAUUUUUUUAUUAUGCCAUUUAUAAUUUACAAGAAGCAUUCUAGUCUGAAGUAUGUUUCAUUUUAAUUGUUGCUUCUAUGCUUUUCCCUUUUCUCUUUUCCGUAGCUAGCUGCAUUUCAUGUUGAUUUUUCCCUGCCAUCCCAAAAGUCAAUGUCUGUUUGAUGUUUCCAUUCAUGCAUCUAUAUGUGCUUUGGAUCUGGAUUGGUUCCAAUGACCAUGCAUGGAAGUUAGUUCCAUGCUGAUGUUACCAAAUGAAUGCUUAAUAUGUAGAAAGUAAAGAAUGAUGUUGAAAAGCAAAAGGAUCUUAUGAAGACAUAACUAGUAUCAAACAUAGAAAAAUGAACAGCACCUUCUGACACAUUGUUAAUUACGUGUUUUGUCAAGGACCUCACCCUCUAAUCAUACCCAUGGAUGAGACAUAUCCAGGUCACUAUCUGAUUGAUCAAUUGCAGCUGGCUGCUGCCUUUUAGCUUCUCUGUGGGUGCAUGUGUUAACAACUGUGUGCAUAUUGAUGUUAGUUUUAAAGCUGUCGAUGAUAUGCAUAAUGGAUUACAUUUAGAAAAGAAAACGGAGAGAAGGUUAUUUUUUUUAUCUAAGCAUGUUGGUUUUGAUCAUAGAUCUGGAUGCUGACUUCUGGUUUGAAUUUGUUGAAUGUGGCUUUAAUAGGAAAUGAAUGCUUAUUGCCAUAAAUCCUGAUUUCUUUAAUCGUUCUCAUAUACUCAUUUUGUUAAAUACAUUUGGUGCUGCAGCCUACUGUGUAGUAGCAGUUGAAUCUGCUGGCAGGCAAGUUCCAAUUGCAUUUCUGGAACGAGUCAAGGAAGACUUCAACAAGAGAUAUGGUGGAGGAAAGCUGCAACUGCUACCGCAAAUAGCCAGAAUAAAGAAUCUGGGUAUUUAGCUGUCUUUAUCUUUCUUGUAGAUUUAUUGUUUACUUCUUCGUGACAUGCUUAGCUCUUUAUACAUAAUAGGUCCAAAUUGAAGGAGCAUAUGCAGCAUUGUGUGGACCAUCCUGAAGAGAUCAGCNAAAAGUUGUGAUAAUGAGGGACAUUGUAUCUUUUGAGGGUGGUGGUUGUCGGUUGUUUUGAUAGACAAAAUGGAGGUAAUAUUAAGAUUCGGACGCAUUAAUGAGAUAACUCUGAAAAUUAUCAGGUUAAUGUAGCAUAAGGUUCACAUAAUUUAUAAUGCCAUAAUGAUAAAUAAGCCCAUCACCUGUGAUAAAAUCCUCACUUAAGCCCUUACUGCUUUAUUUGCGUCAAUUGAGUCCCCAACCUAUUAUUUUGAUGUCAAAUGAAUCCAAUUUGAAUGGGAAAUGCUGGCAUUGCUAAAGGUGUGACUUAUUCCAACAUACAUGAGUUAAUUGGGGACAUUAGAAAUGUCAGCAUUUCCAUCUAAAUUGGAUUCACAUGACACCAAAUAAUAGGUUGAUGGCUCGAUUGACACAAAUUAAAUAAUAAAGGCUUAAGUGAGAAUUUUACCAUAAUUUGAGAGCUUAUUUUUUUAUUAUGCCAUUUAUAAUUUACAAGAAGCAUUCUAGUCUGAAGUAUGUUUCAUUUUAAUUGUUGCUUCUAUGCUUUUCCCUUUUCUCUUUUCCGUAGCUAGCUGCAUUUCAUGUUGAUUUUUCCCUGCCAUCCCAAAAGUCAAUGUCUGUUUGAUGUUUCCAUUCAUGCAUCUAUAUGUGCUUUGGAUCUGGAUUGGUUCCAAUGACCAUGCAUGGAAGUUAGUUCUAUGCUGAUGUUACCAAAUGAAUGCUUAAUAUGUAGAAAGUAAAGAAUGAUGUUGAAAAGCAAAAGGAUCUUAUGAAGACAUAACUAGUAUCAAACAUGGAAAAAUGAACAGCACCUUCCGACACAUUGUUAAUUACGUGUUUUGUCAAGGACCUCACCCUCUAAUCAUACCCAUGGAUGAGACAUAUCCAGGUCACUAUCUGAUUGAUCAAUUGCAGCUGGCUGCUGCUUUUUAGCUUCUGUGUGGGUGCAUGUGUUAACAAGUGUGUGCAUAUUGAUGUUAGUUUUAAAGCUGUUGAUUAUAUUUAUAAUGGAUUACAUUUAGAGAAGAAAAAAGAGAGAGGUUUUUUUUUUUUUUUUAAACAUGUUGGUUUUGUCAUAGAUCUGGAUGCUGACUUCUGGUUUGAAUUUGUUGAAUGUGGCUUUAAUAGGAAAUGAAUGCUUAUUGCCAUAAAUCCUGAUUUCUUGAAUCGUUCUCAUAUACUCAUUUUGUUAAAUACAUUUGGUGCUGCAGCCUACUGUGUAGUAGCAGUUGAAUCUGCUGGCAGGCAAGUUCCAAUUGCAUUUCUGGAACGAGUCAAGGAAGACUUCAACAAGAGAUAUGGUGGAGGAAAGCUGCAACUGCUACCGCAAAUAGCCAGAAUAAAGAAUCUGGGUAUUUAGCUGUCUUUAUCUUUCUUGUAGAUUUAUUGUUUACUUCUUCGUGACAUGCUUAGCUCUUUAUACAUAAUAGGUCCAAAUUGAAGGAGCAUAUGCAGCAUUGUGUGGACCAUCCUGAAGAGAUCAGCAAACUUGCCAAAGUGAAAGCUCAAGUUUCUGAAGUCAAGGGUUUUAUGAUGGAAAACAUUGAGAAGGUAAUAGGCUGCUGCUGAUUUUGUAGCUGAUCUAGAGGUAGUUUGAGGGUUAAAACAUGAUAAGAAGCAUAUCCAGCUUCUGCAAGUUGCUAGAUGUGUUAUAAAAUUGAAAGUACUUCAGAUAUAUUGCAUGUGGUGUGUUGUUUUGUUAGUAACAUUUGGCUUUGGCCAGGUCCUUGAUUGUGUUGAGAAAAUUGAGUUGCUGGUGGAUAAAACGGAGAACCUUCGCUCACAGGUUAGUCAUAUUCAAACUGCAUUUUAUGGGUAACUGAAACAAGGACUUAAUUGUGUUUUGGUCAAGCCUUUGCCUUUUCAAAGUUGGUUUUAAAUAUUAUUAGGAUUCUGAUCAAUUUUGGUUUUCUAAUUUAAAUACCGUCUUUUAUGGUUUCUUUAUGCCUUGUAUAUUGGUGCACAAUAUGAUGCAUUUAACUUGAUAUACAUAAGAUGCACAAUAUGAUACAUUUAAUUUGAUAUUGCAUUACAGGUGCAAGACUUUAGGCAGCAGGGAACUAAGAUGAGAAGAAAGAUGUGGCUUCGAUUAUGAAGAUAAAAUUGAUUGUUUUGGGGAUCCUUAUUGCCCUGAUUCUUAUCAUUGUGCUGUCAGUCUGCCAUGGCUUCAAAUAUUAAUCUGUCUUGGAUUUCCCUGGUACAGCUCUUGCUGCCCGGGUUGUCUUGAUAGAUUGGUUUGUCUUACUUGUUUUUUUAGGGCAUAUAUUUCUCCCUUUGCUAGCCUUUUAGGAUAGGGGGAGGCUUUGUAUCUUGGUUGGCUGUAUAGGUUAUAGUUUGAACUUGUUGCGGUAGAUAAAAAUUUCGGUGGAGGAUUUCUUCUUUAUAGUGUAAUUGGGGAAUACUCGGAUGCCUGCGUAUCAUAUUUGUCCUUUUGAAAUGUUAUUAAUCUGUUUUUCUGUUUCUUUCGCUUAUCAUGUAAAUCCUUGUAUAUGCAUUUCUUUUUUAGAGGUAAGAGGAGACGGUUGGUUUUGUUAAAUUUUUUAAUGCUUAGGAGCCUAUGGUUGCAUGAGUAGCUCGGUGUCUUUACCUUCCGCAGGGAAGGUCUUUAGCUCUAAUGAUUAGAGCGAUGUGUAUGAUCGAUUUCCCCCCACUCACCUUGAAGUCUUGUUUUGAGGAUCUAAUCUUUCUCCAGAGAGAAAUUUGGGGAACAAGUAAGGGAUGUUGAUGAAGGGUUAUUUUGUUAAAAAACCAAAAUGGUUUGUUAAAAAAUUAGUUUGACUAUGAAACAAAUCGAAUUUUAAUUGGCAGUUGGUUCCCUUUCGAUUUUACAUUAUUCAAAUCAAAGGAGUUAGGAUAUUUUUGCUUAAAAACAAUCCAAUUUGAGUUCUAAUCGUACAAACUCUUUAAAACAGUAUAAAUCGAGUUUUGAGCAAUGAAAAUUAAUGUCCACAUGAACAGAUUAUAAUAUAUGGGAAAUUGUAGCAAUGGUGUGAAGCAGAAGCACUACUGUCUUCACGGGUUUGUACAUCAUAUGUUAAGAUUAGAUGCCACUAAUGGAAAAACUAAGGCUUAACAUAAAUUUUAACAUUUUGGAAUUUUUUCAAUAUUAAAUACCUAAAAGCUUUAUGCCCGUUGUUGGCUGGAUCAUCUUUGUCUCAUUAUCAUCUCUGUCUCAUCUUUUUACGUGCUUAAAAUAUAUAUAGAUAUAUAUUAUAUAACAAAGGAUUUUUUUAAUUGGUAUCUAAGCUAUAUAUGAUUCUUACCUAUCUAUAUACUCCACAUUCAACACCUGUAUCUGGUAUUUUAUCAAGAGUAAAGGGUAUUAUUGAGUUUUUAGUUCUACUUGCCAUUUCUUGCAGAUCCUUUUUCCUUUGUUGAUCCUAUCGACCUUUUCAUGGUCACACUGCCCCGACUCAGGCAUCACAAUCCCAAGUCGGUCCUAAUCAAAGAUGCUACUUCCAAGUUCUUCAGCACGGUCAUCAUCCUCUCCGAGAUCAACACGGAUAUGUGAUUUUGGACAUGCUCAAUCACAGAGCUUAACCCUUCUUAUUUGUGCAGCAGCCAACUCAUGGGUAAAUUGGUGAUUGCCUUGGGAUUUGCCAGUGUCUUUCUAAGCUUCUGUCCGUCUUUCUAGGCAUUCAUCCGGUGCAUGGAAGAAAGGUUUCGUCUGUGCAUGGAAUCGGGCCUUUGUCAGCGAAUGGAUUUACGGUCGAAACACCUUGACUCAAUGCAAUGGAGAGUUUCGAUGGCUGCAGUGGAGUUGAAUUAUCCGGUGGACUUUUCUAAGAUUAUGGAAUUCGAAAGGUUUGGAAGACGGGCUAAGGUUACAAGUCAGUCUUCUCAAUCUCAUCAACAUCUUGCUAUGAUGAUCAUUGAUGGUUUUCUGCAGUUUGAAUUGUUACUUUUCUUUCCCGAUAUAUAUUCAAUAUGCAAAAAUGAUUCUCUUUCAUUUCAUAAGUUUAUGUUCCCAUAUAAUUAAACAUAGGUGGGCUCGAGUCACAGCCCACAUAAGUGUAUGAAAAGACAAAUUUUGGAACGUUAUGGCUAUAUUUAAGCUCAGAGCAGUAAAAUUUUUUUUUAUUUUUUCAGAUAAUAUAAAGAAUGGAUUGAAAGAAACAGUUGAAAAUGAUUUGAGUAGUAAUUUUUCUUUGCUUCAGGUAGGUUUACCAAAUGAUUUAUUUCAAUAGAUAUGGGUUCCUCUGUUUUGAACGUUUUUGUUCUCUAAAAAGAUGAUUAGAAUGUACAAAAUACUUUGUGAAUGUAACAACUACUUACAUCAUUUUUAGUCUCAAAAUUCCAUAUUGGGUUACUUUUUUGAAUUGAGAAGUUCUGCAUCAAUGGAAAAGCUUAUCUUAAAUAAAAAUGGAUGAAUCAUUAGCAGAGGAAACUCAGUUGAGGACUAAAAGUGACCUUGGCAAAAGAAGCUCUGGUUCUUUUUUAAUAAGUACACAUUGUUACAUAUUUUUCUAUUGCUUCAUAUUAGAAGGAAUCUUUUAGAUAUUGGAUUGUCAUUAUACAAAAAUAAAAAGGGCAAUGGCAUGUUCUUGAUACCUUCUGUAUGAAGUGUGUACUAUUGUUUUUGUGUCAACAAUGCUGUGAAUAUAUAAUUAUUUUUUCAAGGGUAGCAUCAAACUCAAAUUUGAUGUCAUCAUAAAAAUUUCAAAAGUCAAAGGCUUUCCAGAACUUCUUCAAAAUAACGUAUACUCAGAUUUAACAAUGACUACUUACUUAAUUUGGCAACAACCAAAGACUAAAAAUUAGACUAAUUGUUGAUUAAUUACUAUGUAGUUGCUGCAAAAGACCUUUUCUGACAGUACUUAUUGCAUCAAUACUUGCAUAAUUUUGUAGUAUUAAUCAAUCUCUAUCUCUUACCUCAGUUCUGUAAAUACAGAAUAUUUUUUAAAAUGUUUGUUAAAUACAAGCAAAGAAUGCGCAUUUAAAAUAUAAAGUGCUCUAUAACAGAACAGAGCUUAGAUAUAUAGCCCAUUCAUAGCGAAUCAUGGCAGAAAACACUUUUUAUGGGUAUCCAAAACUUUGCAAAGAACACAAUUUUAAUGGAUUGGUUUUUUUUCGUUGGUCAUCCGUAUUGGGUUAACUCUAGAAAUUUCUUCUUAUAUAUUUUGACAAGCAUUGGCUCAAAAGUUUUGCAGAUUCAUGAUUUAUGUCCAUACCAAAGGGAUGAUAAUUGAUGAUAAGUAUGUUAUCAUGAGAUCAGUAAACAUUAACUAAAGAUCCUUAAAUGGUUCUAGGGACACAAAAGUAGCUAUUAGGUGCUUACCAACCAAAUUAUCCAUGGGCAGGAAACAAAUCCCGCUCGCAUUGCUAGGUUUGGGAUUCUGUCUGUACUCAUUUUUAAAUGCUCAAAAAAGUGCUAGACAGUCAUUUAUGCAUACUACUUCUGUUUUUUUGGUUUAAUUGUUUUAGCAUAUGCUUCAAAGGAAACAAAAUGGCAUUAGAGCAUGGAGAAUAGUAUCUCUGGGGUUAAAAAUAUAUUUAAUGUUUGCUUAAAUUCCUAUUUAGAUUUAUUAGUUGCACCAGUAUUGUUGGAUGUAGGUUUAUGGUUAUCGGAUGUUCCUGCGGGCUGAACACCUUGGCAAACUGGAGGAUAGUUUUCAAGAACCAUAAAGCCUAGAAUGUGUUUUUAAUUGUUCUAAAUUAUGUUUUAUUUUAUCAGUACUUGAAGUUUAUGGCUAGAUGGGAGCAGAAAAAGUCUGUCGGUGGUAAGUUUUUUUUGGUUUGCUCAAGUUUGUUAGGAUCCAUUGUUAAUGCAUACAUAAAAGUAUGGCCAUUUCUAAUCUUGCAAAUGAUGUGUUGUUCAUAUUCUAGGAGGAAAAAAGAAGGAAGUGAAGGAGACUGGUUUAGGUCUCUCUUUUACUAAGGAUGAAAAUUUCAAAGAAUGGUACUUUGAGGUAUAUUUUGUUGCAAUGGUACAAUUGCUUUGUGAUUGUUGUACUACUUUAUCGAGAUCUUAGUAUUUUAUGAUUAUAUCAUACAUUUUGGCUUUUGUAAGUUGCUGUCAACGAUGAAAUGAUUGAGUACAAUGACAUUUCUAGCUAUUAUAUUCUGAGGCCAUGGGCAAUUUCAAGUGGGAGAUUAAGUCAUAUAAUAUUUAUACUCAUUGCAGUUUAAGUACUAAAUAGCAAGUGUUAAUUAAUUACAAGGAAAAAAAUGGUCAUGGAUGUCAUUCCUUAUUAUUUUUUUUCUUUCCCUUCCCUUUAACUUAUCUAUGAUGUUAAAUUGCACACAUUCUUUGAUGUGGAAAUCAAGAACUACCUCUCUUUGUAUCUCCAAGUGUUUUGCAAAAAGAGAAAGAUCACAUUGAGGGUUUUGCUCCAGAGAUGAGAACUAAGGUUUUGGGCACAAUUGGCCUUGUGGAAUGUGCUUCAGCUUGGAAUUGUUAAUUUAUAUUUUUACGAAAUUUCUUGAAGCCAUUUGAAUCUCAUUUUGUCCCUAAAGAAGCAAGAUUAUUCACCAAGAAGCAGUAAACUUUUAAUUCAUAUCAUUCUUUGGUCUCAGAGAUUUGUCACUAAGAAAGAUCUGCCUUGAUGUGUCAAUAAAGUUGGUAACAAAAUUUUCACUAAUUUUCCAAUAAGCAUUCAUCUUUUUUAUUCUUGCCUUUUAAACAAUAUAUAAAUUAACACAAUUUGUUUAACUAUUUAUACAUUACUGUAUAUUAUUUUUAUCAUAACAAAGUCUGUUUAACUAUUUAUCCAUUACUGCGUAUUAUUUUUACCAUAACAUAAUCAAUCUUUUUACAUUCGCAUCAUAACAAAUACAUCAUUUUAUUUAUUUUUCUUUAACUAAUUUAUAACAAUAAUAAUCUUAAAAAUUAUUAAAAUUAAUAAACAAUUCUUGAUUCUACUAAUUUAAAUUUUUUAUACAAAACUUUUAACAUCAAUUGUUCAUAAAAUUUACAAACUUGUCGCGUAGAGUCGGUAUUUUUUUAGUUUUAUAAAUUAAAAUAAAAAAUUACAAAAGUAGUAUGUUAUAACGAUUAAAUACCUUUAAUUAUAAUUAUUCUCAAUCAUAAUUUCUUAUUGCAAUGAAUACCAAAUUGAAUUUUGGUUCAAGAAAGAUAAGAUGCAUUUUGAGUAGAAAUUUUAAAUUCAAAUCAUAGAGUUCAUCACGUGAAAAAGAAAAAAAAAAUUUUUUGAAUAAUUUUGAGAGAAAAUGACGUCGUUUAUUGUUAGUCACUUGAAAUGAGUGAAAUGACGUCGUUCCUUCUUAAUGCUUAUUUCCCUCCUGCCACACGGUGUCGUUUUACUAAGUGAUAAAAUCAUCCCUUGAAACCCUGGCCUGUUUCUUUUUCUUCCUCGUCUGGCUAGGACUCUAACCGAGCCGCACCACCUCUCUUCCACGAUGGUUCCUGGGUUUCUCUCCCGGCCUUCCUUUUCACUUGCCUUAGCUUGUUUUAGACGCCAACCAAACGAAAUAGCGUCUUUUCAACGCCAAAUUGCCCAACACUAUAAAAACCGUUCCCUUUACUCACAAAAUCUUAGAUCUCAGAUUUCAGAUAUCAAAUCUCAGAUCGUUUCUUACUCUCUUUGAAGAAAUUGUGUUGCGAUGGCUGAUUUUCGUCUCCAAGGUCUUUGUCAAUCUCAAUUCACAGAGAUUGCUGCUGAAAGAGCUAAAGUAGCUGCAGAGGAAUAUUUCAAGUCGGGAAACAUCGACAGAGCUAUUCAGCAAGGGUUCGCAGCACUCGAUUUGAACCCCAAUUUACGGAUCGUGCAGAAGUACAUUGCCGCCUAUUUGAUUCACAAGUUUGCUUCUAUGUUAAGUCUUUGCCAGAAAAUGAAGGUAGACGAUACCAAAGUUCUGUACUCCAUUCUUUUUAUCGAAGAUUGUUCUGCCGUAGUUGAUGCUGCGACUAUUAGAAAACACUACAAAGAAGUGGUACUAUUGGUCCAUCCGGACAAGAAUGAUUCAGUUGCAGCAGAUGGUGCUUUCAAGAUCGUUCGUCAGGCUUGGGAAACUCUCUUAUCUGAUCACAACAAAAGAAGAAAGACUCGAUGAGGAUGAAGUUUUUUGGUUUGGAUUAGAUUCAUUUUGAUAUGUAUUCAAAUUUUUUAUGAAUAAUAUGUAGUUAUUUUUUAUUUUGUUCUGAUUUGGUUACUUUUUUGAGAUUCAAUUUGAUUUUGAUUUUUAGUGUCAGUCCAAUUUCAUAAUUGAUCACAAUUAUGAUUAAGCAUUCCAAGUUAAAAUGCUACCAUCAUCAAUCCAUAAUAUAAUAUACAGAGUAAAUUGAAGCAAAUUAUUUGAAGAAUAUUCUGAUGUGGGUUUUUUAGGCAAUGAACGUUUUCUUUAAGCUUUCAGAUUUUAUUUUGUUAAAAUAAAUUUCUUUGUGUUAUAUAUUUUGUAAGUCUUUUUCGUUAGCUUGAAAUUGAAUUCUGGGUUCAAGAGGUUAUUGUAUUAAGUAACUAUGUGUUUUGCUUGCUUCAGUGUUUGUAUCGGUGCUGCAGUUAUUCACUUUCCUUCUGAUUUGAUACAAUCAAACUAAAAAAAAGAAGGAAAAAAAUUUUUUUUCACAAAAGUUACUAUAAUAUUUUUCUUUUUAUGGGUGAUAGUUUGUUGAUUAUUCAUUAUUUCAGUGUCAAUUCUUUAUUUUUGGCUUAAGUUAAACAGGCAUUGAAAAACCAAUACUUGCUUGCAAAAGAAGAACCAUAUCAGUUCUACGUGCCUUUUGAUUCUUCAAUUGUUAUCAAAUGCUUGCUCAUGUUGUCCAGAUGUUCCCCAAUGAUGUUUACUUGGGCGAUAUCAUUGAUGCUGCAAAGUCUUUUAGGUUUGUUAUUCGGUUUUUCUCACUUAGAGGUUGAAUCACAAUUUAUCAUAUGUUUAUUUUUGCAUAAGUGUGCAUGUGUAGUAGUAUAAGGCUGUUAAAGGGAAUAUAAUUUGUCAGUUUUUAUACAUAGCAAACCCUCAGUGUGAUUUCUUGGAAAAGCAGAAGUCCAAUAAUGGACUAUACACGUUCCUCUUUUAUCAUUACUCAUAUCUUAGCCUAAAUUACUCUUGUUGUUUCUGUGCUAAAAGCAAUGCUGCUAAUAUCUAGUUCUGGCCAACUUUUGCUGAGCUGUUUGCAAUAAUUGUUGUAUACACAUUUAUGUAAAGGUACAUUUUUUCUUGGGCCUUAAUUCACUUACCAUGUAGUUCUCUCCUGAAUCAUGUUUCUGUCCCAUUUAUAAAUGUUAGGCUAUGAUUUGAAUUGCCUUGUUAAGGAAGCAUUAUCUAUUGAAAUGUUGCUGGCAGCUAUCCUCUAACUUAAGGGUGCAGGAGACACGGUCUUCAUUGGAGUGGUUUGUGGGAAAAGUACAAGACAUGAUUAUCUAAAUACUUUGAGACGAUCUAUAGUGAAGAGUACAAAUGAAUCAAGGUGAGAGGUUUAAAGAAGCUGAUCAGUUUUGCACUUCAUUGCCUUUGUCAUAUAAAAGUUUUAAUCUCUAUUCACCCACCAAAAAGGAGGAAUAGGAAAGAAAAUUGCAAAAGUGGAAGCUUUUUUACAUUUGCAUAAUGCCUGAUGCAGGCAUACGUUUAAGUACUUAGAGAGAGAUGAGACAAUGGUAGCUCACUUGGUGGGGGAAUUGAUGCAUUCAUAAAGCUGUCUCAAAGUUAGCUGCUAUCAAAAUCUCUAUUCAAUGUUGUAUAUACUUUCUAAAAUUUGAAGUCUAUGUUCCAAAUUCUGAGGAAAUCAUUGGUAGAGAUAUCACCGGGAUCGGAUCCUGGUACAAUAUACAUCUCAACACCUGUGGAGAAAUGUUAGUUAUGUUUCUGUUAGUAGCUUUUGUACUAGUGUAAUUUUCAUUACAUAAAUCAGUCAUGUAGGGUGCCUAGUGAUUUGAUUAUGAUAAUUGAUUUCCACGGUAAGAUGUACAAGUUUGGGUACUCCAGGACCAGAUCUCCAUUGCAGUGAUGUGCAAAGUUCAAGGAAAACUUUGUCAAGGGUCAUAAAUAUUGUGAAAGGGUUAACUCUAGCAUUUGUUUUUAAUUUACACUAGAUCUUCUGUCUGCUCGUGAGUAACGGGUUUUGCUUGUUUUCAUGACUUUUUCUUUAAAUUUAUCAUCACUAUUCACCAUGAUAUAUAUGAAUGAUAAUUAAAGAUAUAUUAAAAGAUAAUGACAAGAAAAUAUUGAGUUGUUCAGCUUUAAUUAUUUGGCACAGGCAAUGAGUCAAUGAGGGCAAAUGCUAUUGGCAGUUGUGUUGUGCUCAACCAUGGAGGAGGUUGCGCGGUAGACAAGAUGCUCAUGGAGUUUGCUUCACUGUCAAUAAUCCCUAUGAUACUUCUAUUUGUUGUUAUCCUCGUUAAUUCAUUUUUAAUUUUAUUAUUAUUUAUCUUUUUAAAAAUUGAUUUUACUAGAAUUCUGAUCAAUUUUGCUUUUCUAAUUUAAGUACUGUCUUUUAUGGUUUCUUUAUGCCUUGUAUAUUGGUGCACAGUAUGAUGCAUUUAACUUGAUAUACAUAAGAUGCACAAUAUGAUACAUUUAAUUUGAUAUUGCAUUACAGGUACAAGACUUUAGGCAGCAGGGAACUAAGAUGAGAAGAAAGAUGUGGCUUCAGAAUAUGAAGAUAAAAUUGAUUGUUUUGGGUAUCCUUAUUGCCCUGAUUCUUAUCAUUGUGCUGUCAGUCUGCCAUGGCUUCAAAUGUUAAUCUGUCUUGGAUUUCCCUUGUACCGCUCUUGCUGCCUGGGUUGUCUUGAUAGAUUGGUUUGUCUUACUUGUUUUUUUAGGGCAUAUAUUUCUCCCUUUGCUAGCCGUUUAGGAUAGGGGGAGGCUUUGUAUCUUGGUUGGCUGUAUAGGUUAUAGUUUGAACUUGUUACGGUAGAUAAAAAAUUUCUAUGGAGGAUUUCUUCUUUAUAUUGUAAUGGGGGAAUACUCGGAUGCCUGCAUAUCAUAUUUGUCCUUUUGAAAUGUUAUUAAUCUGUUUUUUUGUUUUUCUCGCUUAUCAUGUAAAUCCUUUUAUAUGCAUUUCUCUUUUAGAGGUAAGAGGACAAGGUUGGUUCUGUAAAAAUUUUUAAUGCUUAGGAGACUACGGUUGCAUGAGUAGCUCAGUGUCUUCGCCUUCCGCAGGGAAGGUCUUUAGCUCUAAUGAUUAAAGCGAUGUGUAUGAUUGAUUUUCUCCCACUACCUUUGAAGUCUUGUUUUGAGGAUCUAUUCUUUCUACGGAGAGAAAUUUGGGGAAUAAGUAAGGGAUGUUGACGAAUGGUUGUUUUGUCAAAAAAAAAAAAAAAUGGUUUGUUAAAACACUAGUUUGACAACGAAACAAAUUGAAUUUUAUUUGGUAGUCGGUUCGAUUUUUCUUUAUUAAAAUCAAAGGCGUUAGUAUAUUUUUGCUUGAAAACGAUUUAAUUUGAGUUUUUAAUCGUAAAUCGAGUUUGAGUAAUGGAAACUAAUGUCCACAAGAAUAUAUUAUAAUAUAUGAAAAAUUGUAGCUAUGAUGUGAAGCAAAAGUACUAUUGUGCUCAUGAUUUUGUAUAUAAUAUGUUGAGAUUAGGUCCUACUAUUAGAAAAAUUAAAAUUUAAUUCAAAUUUUAACAUCUUGAAAUUCGUUCAAUAUUAAAUACUUAAAAACUUAAUGCCCGCUGUUAACUGAAUCAUCUUUGUAUCAUUAUCCUCUCUAAUCUUUUUUUUUUUGCUUAAAAUAUAUAUAUAUAUUAUAUAACAAAAGAUUUUUAAUAGUUGGUAUUUUAUGAAUGAAAACAAAAGACUACAAAGUAGUCUGUUAUAACAAUUAAAUACCUUUAAUUAUAAUUAUUCUCUAUCAUAGUUUCUUAUUGCAAUUAAUACCAAAUUGAAUUUUGAUUCAAGUAAGAAAGAUAAGAUGCGUUUUGAGUAGAAAUUUUAAAUUCAAAUUAUAGAGUUCAUCACGAGAAAGAGAAACAAUAAAAUUUCGUAUAAUUUACAAAAAAAAUGACGUCGUUUAUUAUUAAUCACUUGAAAUGAAUGGCAUGACGACGUUUCCUUCUUAAUGCUUAUUUCUCUCCCCUCACACGGUGUCGUUUUACCAAGCAAUAAAAGCAUCCCGUGAAACCCUGGCCUGUUUCUUUUUCUUCCUCGUCUGGCUAGGACUCUAACCGAGCCGCACCACCUCUCUCCCACGAUGGUUCCUGGGUUUCUCUCUCGACCGUCCUUUUCACUUGCCUUAGCUUGUUUUAGACGCCAACCAAACGAAAUAGCGUCUUUUCAACGCCAAAUUGCCCAACACUAUAAAAACCGUUCCCUUUACUCACAAAAUCUUAGAUCUCAGAUUUCAGAUAUCAAAUCUCGGAUCGUUUCUUACUCUCUUUGAAGAAAUUGUGUUGCGAUGGCUGAUUUUCGUCUUCAAGGUAUUUGUCAAUCUCAAUUCACAGAGAUUGCUGCUGAAAGAGCUAAAGUAGCUGCAGAGGAAUAUUUCAAGUCGGGAAACAUCGACAGGGCUAUUCAGCAAGGGUUCGCAGCACUCGAUUUGAACCCCAAUUUACGGAUCGUGCAGAAGUACAUUGCCGCCUAUUUGAUUCACAAGUUUGCUUCUAUGUUAAGUCUUUGCCAGAAAAUGAAGGUAGACGAUACCAAAGUUCUGUACUCCAUUCUUUUUAUCGAAGAUUGUUCUGCCGUAGUUGAUGCUGCGACUAUUAGAAAACACUACAAGGAAGUGGUACUAUUGGUCCAUCCGGACAAGAAUGAUUCAGUUGCAGCAGAUGGUGCUUUCAAGAUCGUUCGUCAGGCUUGGGAAACUCUCUUAUCUGAUCACAACAAAAGAAGAAAGACUCGAUGAAGAUGAAGUUUUUUGGUUUGGAUUAGAUUCAUUUUGAAUGUAUUCAAAUUUUUUUAUGAAUAAUAUGUAGUUAGUUUUUAUUUUGUUCUGAUUUUGUUACUUUUUUUAGAUUCAAUUUGAUUUUGAUUUUUAGUGUCAGUCCAAUUUCAUAAUUGAUCACAAUUAUGAUUAAGCAUUCCAAGUUAAAAUGCUACCAUCAUCAAUCCAUAAUAUAAUAUACAGAGUAAAUUGAAGCAAAUUAUUUGAAGAAUAUUCUGAUGUGGGUUUUUUAGGCAAUGAACGUUUUCUUUAAGCUUUCAGAUUUUAUUUUGUUAAAAUAAAUUGCUUUGUGUUAUAUAUUUUGUAAGUCUUUUUCGUUUGUUUUAAAUUGAAUUCUGAGUUCAAGAGGUUAUUGUAUUAAGAAACUAUGUGUUUUGCUUGCUUCAGUGUUUGUAUCGGUGCUGCAGUUAUUCACUUUCUUUCUGAUUUGAUACAAUCAAACUAAAAAAAAGAAGGAAAAAAAUUUUUUUUCACAAAAGUUACUAUAAUAUAUUUCUUUUUAUGGGUGAUAGUUUGUUGAUUAUUCGUUAUUUCAAUAUCAAUUCUUUAGUUUUGGCUCAAGUUAAACAGGCAUUGAAAAACCAAUACUUGCUUGCAAAAGAAGAUCCAUAUCGGUUCUACGUGUCUUUUGAUUCUUCAAUUGUUAUCAAAUGCUUGCUCAUGUUGUCCAGAUGUUCCCAAAUGAUGUUUACUUGGGCGAUAUCAUUGAUGCUGCAAAGUCUUUCAGGUUUGUUAUUCGGUUUUUCUCACUUAGAGGUUGAAUCACAAUUUAUCAUAUGUUUAUUUUUGCACAAAUGUGCAUGUGUAGUGUGAUUUCUUGGAAAAGCAGAAGUCCAAUAAUGGACUAUACACGUUCCUCUUUUAUCAUUACUCAUAUCUUAGCCUAAAUUACUCUUGUUGUUUCUGUGCUAAAAGUAAUGCCGCUAAUAUCUAGUUCUGGCCAACUUUUGCUGAGCUGUUUGCAAUAAUUGUUGUAUACACAUUUAUGUAAAGGUACAUUUUUUCUUGGGCCUUAAUUCACUUACCAUGUAGUUCUCUCCUGAAUCAUGUUUUUGUCCCAUUUAUAAAUGUUAGGCUAUGAUUUGAAUUGCCUUGUUAAGGAGGCAUUAUCUAUUGAAAUGUUGCUGGCAGCUAUCCUCUAACUUAAGGGUGCAGGAGACACGGUCUUCAUUGGAGUGGUUUGUGGGAAAAGUACAAGACAUGAUUACCUAAAUACUUUGAGACGAUCUAUAGUGAAGAGUACAAAUAAAUCAAGGUGAUAGGUUUAAAGAAGCUGAUCAGUUUUGCACUUCAUUGCCUUUGUCAUAUAAAAGUUUUAAUCUCUAUUCACCCACCAAAAAGGAGGAAUAGGAAAGAAAAUUGCAAAAGUGGAAGCUUUUUUACAUUUGCAUAAUGCCUGAUGCACGCAUAUGUUUAAGCACUUAGAGAGAGAUGAGACAAUGGAAGCUCACUUGGUGGGGGAAUUGAUGCAUUCAUAAAGCUGUCUCAAAGUUAGCUGCUAUUAAAAUCUCUAUUCAAUGUUCUAUAUACUUACUAAAAUUUGAAGUCUAUGUUCCAAAUUCUGAGGAAAUCAUUGGUAGAGAUAUCACCUGGAUCGGAUCCUGGUACAAAUACAUCUCAACACCUGUGGAGAAAUGUUAGUUAUGUUUCUGUUAGUAGCUUUUGUACUAGUGUAAUUUUCAUUACAUAAAUCAGUCAUGUAGGGUGCCUAGUGAUUUGAUUAUGAUAAUUGAUUUCCACGGUAAGAUGUACAAGUUUGGGUACUCCAGGACCAGAUCUCCAUUGCAGUGAUGUGCAAAGUACAAGGAAAACUUUGUCAAGGGUCAUAAAUAUUGUGAAAGGGUUAACUCUAGCAUUUGUUUUUAAUUUACACUAGAUCUUCUGUCUGCUCGUGAGUAACGGGUUUUGCUUGUUUUCAUGACUUUUUCUUUAAAUUUAUCAUCACUAUUCACCAUGAUAUAUAUGAAUGAUAAUUAAAGAUAUAUUAAAAGAUAAUGACAAGAAAAUAUUGAGUUGUUCAGCUUUAAUUAUUUGGCACAGGCAAUGAGGGCAAAUGCUAUUGGCAGUUGUGUUGUGCUCAACCAUGGAGGAGGCUGCGCGGUAGACAAGAUGCUCAUGGAUUUUGCUACACCAUCAAUGCACCCAAUGAUACUUGCAUUUGUCGUCACCCUUGUUAAUUCAUUUUUAAUUUUAUUAUUAUUUAUCUUUUUAAAAAUUGAUUUUACUAGAAUUCUGAUCAAUUUUGCUUUUCUAAUUUAAAUACUGUCUUUUAUGGUUUCUUUAUGCCUUGUAUAUUGGUGCACAGUAUGAUGCAUUUAACUUGAUAUACAUAAGAUGCAGAAUAUGAUACAUUUAAUUUGAUAUUGCAUUACAGGUAGAAGACUUUAGGCAGCAGGGAACUAAGAUGAGAAGAAAGAUGUGGCUUCAGAAUAUGAAGAUAAAAUUGAUUGUUUUGGGUAUCCUUAUUGCCCUGAUUCUUAUCAUUGUGCUGUCAGUCUGCCACGGCUUCAAAUGUUAAUCUGUCUUGGAUUUCCCUUGUACCGCUCUUGCUGCCUGGGUUGUCUUGAUAGAUUGGUUUGUCUUACUUGUUUUUUUAGGGCAUAUAUUUCUCCCUUUGCUAGCCUUUUAGGAUAGGGGGAGGCUUUGUAUCUUGGUUGGCUGUAUAGGUUAUAGUUUGAACUUGUUACGGUAGAUAAAAAUUUCUAUGGAGGAUUUCUUCUUUAUAUUGUGAUGGGGGUAUACUCGGAUGCCUGCGUAUCAUAUUUGUCCUUUUGAAAUGUUAUUAAUCUGUUUUUUUUGUUUUUCUCGCUUAUCAUGUAAAUCCUUUUGUAUGCCUUUCUCUUUUAGACGUAAGAGGACACAGUUGGUUUUGUAAAAUUUUUUAAUGCUUAGGAGCCUAUGGUUGCAUGAGUAGCUCGGUGUCUUUGCCUUCCGCAGGGAAGGUCUUUAGCUCCAAUGAUUAGAGCGAUGUGUAUGAUUGAUUUUCCCCCACUCCCCUUGAAGUCUUGUUGAUGAAGAAUUGUUUUGUCAAAAAAUAAAAAAAUGAUUUGUUAAAAAACUAGUUUGACUACGAAACAAAUCGAAUUGUAUUUGGCAGUUGGUUCCUUUUCGAUUUUACAUUAUUCAAAUCAAAGGAGUUAGCAUAUUUUCACUUGAAAACGACCUAAUUUGAGUUUUUAAUUGUAAAUCGAAUUUGAGAAAUGAAAACUAAUAUCCCAAAGAACAGAUUAUAAUCUAUGAAAAAUUGUAACAAUGAUGUGAAGCAGAAGCACUACUGUUCUCAUGGUUUUGUACAUAAUAUGCUGAGAUUAGAUCUCACUAUUGAAAAAAUUAAUGCCUAACUCAAAUUUUAACAUUUUGAAAUUCUUUCAAUAUAAAAUACCUAAAAGUUUAAUGCCCGUUGUUGGCUGGAUCGUCCUUGUCCCAUUAUCCUCUCUAACCCACCCUUUUAAGUACUUAAUAUAUAUAUAUAUUAAUGAAAAUAAAAGACUACAAAAGUAGUCUGUUAUAACAAUUAAAUACCUUUAAUUAUAAUUAUUCUCAAUCAUAAUUUCUUAUUGCAGUCAAUACCAAAUUGAAUUUUGGUUCAAGUAAGAAAGAUAAGAUGCAUUUUGAGUAGAAAUUUUAAAUUCAAAUCAUAGAGUUCAUCACGUGAAAAAGAAAAAAAAAAUUUUUUGAAUAAUUUUGAGAGAAAAUGACGUCGUUUGUUGUUAGUCACUUGAAAUGAGUGAAAUGACGUCGUUUCCUUCUUAAUGCUUAUUUCUCUCCUGCCACACGGUGUCGUUUUACCAAGCAAUAAAUGCAUCCCGUGAAACCCUGGCCUGUUUCUUUUUCUUCCUUGUCUGGCUAGGACUCUAACCGAGCCGCACCACCUCUCUCCCACGAUGGUUCCUGGGUUUCUCUCCCGACCGUCCUUUUCACUUGCCUUAGCUUGUUUUAGACGCCAACCAAACCAAAUAGCGUCUUUUCAACGCCAAAUUGCCCAACACUAUAAAAACCGUUCCCUUUACUCACAAAAUCUUAGAUCUCAGAUUUCAGAUAUCAAAUCUCGGAUCGUUUCUUACUCUCUUUGAAGAAAUUGUGUUGCGAUGGCUGAUUUUCGUCUUCAAGGUAUUUGUCAAUCUCAAUUCACAGAGAUUGCUGCUGAAAGAGCUAAAGUAGCUGCAGAGGAAUAUUUCAAGUCGGGAAACAUCGACAGGGCUAUUCAGCAAGGGUUCGCAGCACUCGAUUUGAACCCCAAUUUACGGAUCGUGCAGGAGUACAUUGCCGCCUAUUUGAUUCACAAGUUUGCUUCUAUGUUAAGUCUUUGCCAGAAAAUGAAGGUAGACGAUACCAAAGUUCUGUACUCCAUUCUUUUUAUCGAAGAUUGUUCCGCCGUAGUUGAUGCUGCCACUAUUAGAAAACACUACAAAGAAGUGGUACUAUUGGUCCAUCCGGACAAGAAUGAUUCAGUUGCAGCAGAUGGUGCUUUCAAGAUCGUUCGUCAGGCUUGGGAAACUCUCUUCUCUGAUCACAACAAAAGAAGAAAGACCCGUUGAAGAU